RNAcentral lists this long non-coding RNA (500 nucleotides) under Equus asinus (donkey). RNAcentral describes it as "lncRNA (ENSEASG00005028632.1)". The record is from RNAcentral. Lineage: Eukaryota; Metazoa; Chordata; Mammalia; Perissodactyla; Equidae.
UCAGGCCUGGUUCACAUUCUGUCCCACCACACACUGUAGUGCAAGCAGCUUAGCCUCUCCAAGCCUCAGUUUCCCCAUCUGUUAAGUGGAGGGAGACCCCACAUCAGCCAAGUGAUCAGGGUUAGCAUCGCCAGUCAUGUGGAUGUCGUGCACCCAAUGACGAGGGCGCCACACCUCUGUGUUCUCUCCCCUAACCGAGGGACGUGCUACAAGAUGCGUGAGCGGUACCCUCGCAAACCAAGGUCAUGAAAAGCUAGGAAAGAAGGAGAAGCUGUCACAGACCUGAGGAGACCAAGGAGACCCAUGGCUAAAUGUGACGUGAGAUCCUGGACCAGAAAAAGGACGCCCCCCCUCUGGCCGCAAGGGUCGGGAUACCUGAGCUGCCUGGGCCCUCAGUCUGGCCGCCUCAUCCUGGCCACGUGAUUGGUCCAAGGGGAGCCAGGAUACCCUCUUUGAGUCUAAGCCAGUUCAAAGUCGGCUUUCUGCCCCUUGCAAACGAC